GAUGAAGAACGCAGCGAAAUGCGAUAAGUAAUGUGAAUUGCAGAAUUCAGUGAAUCAUCGAAUCUUUGAACGCACCUUGCGCCCUUUGGCCAUUCCGAAGGGCAUGCCUGUUUGAGUAUCAUGAACACCUCAACUCUUUAUGGUUUUCCAUGAUGAGCUUGGACUUUGGGGGUUUUGCUGGCCUAUGGUCGGCUCCUCUAAAAUAAAUCAGCUUACCGGUGUUUGGUGGGUAUCAUGGGUGUGAUAACUAUCUACGCUUGUGGUUUUUCCACCAGGUAACCUUCGACAGCGGAGGUUCACUGGAGCUCAUAGAUGUCUCUCCUCAGCGAGGACAGCCCUUUGAAUGUUUGAUCUCAAAUCAGGUAGGACUACCCGCUGAACUUAAGCAUAUCAAUAAGCGGAGG
Molecule: unclassified non-coding RNA, 404 nt
Filed under: soil metagenome
Description: partial contains 5.8S ribosomal RNA, internal transcribed spacer 2, and large subunit ribosomal RNA
Rfam family: 5.8S ribosomal RNA (bases 1-121)
Source: RNAcentral